UGGGGUAUAUUGGACAAUGGGCGCAAGCCUGAUCCAGCCAUGCCGCGGGAGUGAUGAAGGCCCUAGGGUUGUAAAGCUCUUUCACCGGUGAAGAUAAUGACGGUAACCGGAGAAGAAGCUCCGGCUAACUUCGUGCCAGCAGCCGCGGUAAUACGAAGGGGGCUAGCGUUGUUCGGACUUACUGGGCGUAAAGCGCACGUAGGCGGACUAUUAAGUCAGGGGUGAGAUCCCGGGGCUCAACCCCGGAACUGCCUUUGAUACUGGUAGUCUUGAUUUAGAGAAAGAUGGGUAGAAGUACGAGUGUAGAGGUGAUAUUCGUGGAUAUUCGGAGGAACACCAGUGGCGAAGGCGGCUCACUGGCUCGAUACUAACGCUGAGGUGCGAAAGCGUGGAGAGCUGACAGG
This 404-nucleotide ribosomal RNA is filed under the name Verrucomicrobiota bacterium. RNAcentral's name for it is "Verrucomicrobia bacterium partial 16S ribosomal RNA". It matches the Rfam family "Bacterial small subunit ribosomal RNA", at positions 355 to 776 of the family's 1533-position model. The record is from RNAcentral. Lineage: Bacteria; Pseudomonadati; Verrucomicrobiota.